CUCGAGGUGGCCGCCUGGGACUCCCUCCUCCAAGACAUCGCACUUAUGCCGAUUAACGUCGAGGAGGACCGGGAUGUUCUUUCCUGGCGCCUCGAGCCCUCUGGCCGUUUCUCCACGAAGUCCCUAUAUGGCGCCAUUGCUCCCUCGACGGCCCCGGAACCAUUUAGCCUGAUCUGGGACAUCCGACUUCCGCUGAAAAUCAGGAUCUUCCUGUGGCAAUGGAUCCGUGGACGCCUCCCCUCUGGGCUUGAAGUCCUCAAGCGUAAUGGCCCGGGUGAUGGGAUGUGCCCCAUCUGUGGCACGAUUGAGGAUGCUAACCACAUCUUUUUCUCGUGCCACUCGGCCCAGUUCCUUUGGGCCUGCUUCCGCGAAACGGUUGGCGGACAGUGGUGUAAUACCAACUUCCCCGACCUGCUUGCCGAGCUCAACGCUUCCCCUACUCGCUACCGCCAUAUUAGAUGGUUGUGCGUUGGGGUUCUCGCCUGGACGCUUUGGAACAUUCGCAAUAAGCUUGUUAUUCAGAAGGUGCCUCUCCGACGUGCGACUGACGCAAUCUUCAAAUUGUGUGGCUACCUGAAGCUUUGGCGGCCGCUUAGCCGCCCCCAGGACCGGGACGUCAUCACCACCCUCCUCUCCGAUCUCCGCUCGAUGGCGCUCCGCGUGGCUCCCCCGCUGCCGCCUCCUCCUCCUGAGCCUGACUAG
RNAcentral lists this ribosomal RNA (702 nucleotides) under Triticum aestivum (bread wheat). Its description in RNAcentral is "partial small subunit ribosomal RNA". Lineage: Eukaryota; Viridiplantae; Streptophyta; Magnoliopsida; Poales; Poaceae. The record is from RNAcentral.